RNAcentral lists this ribosomal RNA (253 nucleotides) under uncultured bacterium. RNAcentral describes it as "partial 16S ribosomal RNA". It matches the Rfam family "Bacterial small subunit ribosomal RNA", at positions 524 to 776 of the family's 1533-position model. The record is from RNAcentral.
UACGGAGGGUGCAAGCGUUAAUCGGAAUUACUGGGCGUAAAGCGUGCGCAGGCGGUUUGUUAAGUCCGUUGUGAAAGCCCCGAGCUCAACUUGGGAAUUGCAGUGGAUACUGGCAGGCUGGAGUACGGUAGAGGAAGGUGGAAUUCCCAGUGUAGCAGUGAAAUGCGUAGAUAUCGGGAGGAACACCAGUGGCGAAGGCGGCCUUCUGGACCAGUACUGACGCUCAUGCACGAAAGCGUGGGGAGCAAACAGG